RNAcentral lists this long non-coding RNA (999 nucleotides) under Rattus norvegicus (Norway rat). RNAcentral's name for it is "long non-coding RNA NONRATT004072". Lineage: Eukaryota; Metazoa; Chordata; Mammalia; Rodentia; Muridae. The record is from RNAcentral.
UCUGAGAAGAGCGGGAGGAGGUGGCGGCCUUGGGAAGAUGUAAGUCGGGGUAGGAAUCCGGCCGCAUCCGACAUUUGGGGACCUUCUGCCAGGCUUGGUGGGACGCAUCGUGGAGCCGGUUGCGUUCCGCAGCUCCGCAGUGAGGCAGAGACCCGCCAGCGAGGCGCAGAGCCCGAAGAGAGUGAGGUUCAGGUCGGGCGGAGUGGGAGGCGUCGAGGCCGCGGCCCGGAAGUGGUCGAGGCGGUCGCAGACGGAAGGGUGAUCCCUCAUCGUUUGCUCGGCCGCGACCAGUAGCCUGCAGGACUCCAGCAGCUGUGUGCGCCGCCGCUUCUCUUGUUUUCUCGUCAGGCUGGAGACCUAGGCUCGCCACGCCAGGCCCGACCUGAGUAGUGAGUGGAGAAAGAGGGUGGGAGGCGAGGUCGAUGUAUGUGACCGGAGCGGACCGUGCAGAUUGCGAGCCGGCCUAAAAGGCUGCUCUUUGGCGUAAAUUGCAAUCGAUUAGGGAUCGUUUCUCAGACUCAAGUUAGAAGUGAGAGUUCAGAUAAGUGAGGCCGACAUUGCUGCCUUGAAGAAGGGGAGAAUGGAUUUAUCAGGAGUGAAAAAGAAGAGCUUGCUAGGAGUCAAAGAGAAUAAUAAAAAGUCCAGCACUAGGGCUCCUUCUCCUACCAAACGAAAGGACCGCUCUGAUGAGAAGUCCAAGGAUCGAUCUAAAGAUAAAGGGACCACUAAAGAGUCCAGUGAGAAGGAUCGUGGCAGAGAUAAGACCCGGAAGAGACGCAGUGCUUCAAGCGGAAGCAGCAGCACCAGGUCCAGGUCCAGCUCAACCUCCAGCUCGGGCUCCAGCACCAGCACGGGCUCGAGCAGUGGCUCUAGCUCGUCUUCUGCGUCCAGCCGCUCAGGAAGCUCCAGCACAUCCCGGAGCUCCAGUUCCAGCAGCUCCUCCGGCUCCCCAAGCCCUUCUCGGCGCAGACAUGACAACAGGCGGCGUUCCCGCUCCAA